RNAcentral lists this ribosomal RNA (469 nucleotides) under uncultured bacterium. RNAcentral's name for it is "partial 16S ribosomal RNA". It matches the Rfam family "Bacterial small subunit ribosomal RNA", at positions 28 to 507 of the family's 1533-position model. The record is from RNAcentral.
AACGAACGUUGGCGGCGUGGAUUAGGCAUGCAAGUCGAACGCGAAUCCCUGGGCAACUGGGGAGGAGAGUGGCGAAAGGGGCAGUAAGGCGUGGGUAACCUACCCUCCGGGCCGGGAUAGCUUCGGGAAACUGAAGGUAAUACCGGGCGACGCAGCGAGAUCGCAUGGUCUUGCUGCCAAAGGUCCGCCGCCGGGGGAGGGGCUCACGUGGUAUUAGCUAGACGGCGGGGUAACGGCCCACCGUGGCAAAGAUGCCUAGCAGGUGUGAGAGCACGACCUGCGCCACUGGCACUGAGACACUGGCCAGACACCUACGGGUGGCUGCAGUCGAGGAUCUUCGGCAAUGGGCGCAAGCCUGACCGAGCGACGCCGCGUGUGCGAUGAAGGCCUUCGGGUUGUAAAGCACUGUCGUGGGGGAGGAUGCCGCAAGGUUGACCUAUCCCUGGAGGAAGCACGGGCUAAGUUCGUG